RNAcentral lists this transfer RNA (74 nucleotides) under Myxococcales bacterium. RNAcentral describes it as "tRNA-Gln". It matches the Rfam family "tRNA". From Rfam's summary of the family: Transfer RNA (tRNA) molecules are approximately 80 nucleotides in length. Their secondary structure includes four short double-helical elements and three loops (D, anti-codon, and T loops). The record is from RNAcentral. Lineage: Bacteria; Pseudomonadati; Myxococcota; Myxococcia; Myxococcales.
UGGGGGAUCGUCUAAUGGCAGGACCGCAGACUCUGAAUCUGCUUAUCUAGGUUCGAAUCCUAGUCCCCCAGCCG